This 497-nucleotide ribosomal RNA is filed under the name uncultured bacterium. RNAcentral describes it as "partial 16S ribosomal RNA". It matches the Rfam family "Bacterial small subunit ribosomal RNA", at positions 28 to 507 of the family's 1533-position model. The record is from RNAcentral.
GAUGAACGCUGGCGGCGUGCCUAAUACAUGCAAGUCGAGCGAACAGACGAGGAGCUUGCUCCUCUGAUGUUAGCGGCGGACGGGUGAGUAACACGUGGAUAACCUACCUAUAAGACUGGGAUAACUUCGGGAAACCGGAGCUAAUACCGGAUAACAUGUUGAACCGCAUGGUUCAACAGUGAAAGACGGUCUUGCUGUCACUUAUAGAUGGAUCCGCGCCGCAUUAGCUAGUUGGUAAGGUAACGGCUUACCAAGGCAACGAUGCGUAGCCGACCUGAGAGGGUGAUCGGCCACACUGGAACUGAGACACGGUCCAGACUCCUACGGGAGGCAGCAGUAGGGAAUCUUCCGCAAAGGGCGAGAGCCUGACGGAGCAACGCCGCGUGAGUGAAGAAGGUCUUCGGAUCGUAAAACUCUGUUAUUAGGGAAGAACAAAUGUGUAAGUAACUAUGCACGUCUUGACGGUACCUAAUCAGAAAGCCACGGCUAACUACGUG